This 106-nucleotide non-coding RNA is filed under the name Heterosigma akashiwo. Lineage: Eukaryota; Raphidophyceae; Chattonellales; Chattonellaceae. The record is from RNAcentral.
CACAUCUUUGGGCUGUAGGGGUGCGUGCCAAGGCCUACAAGCUCUUUGAGAGCUAUCUCUCCUACAGGGCGCUCUUUGUUGCCUCUAAUGGUGAGGUCUCAGAGCA